CAAUCAGAACAUGACACAUGACAA
Molecule: microRNA, 24 nt
Filed under: Glycine max (soybean)
Lineage: Eukaryota; Viridiplantae; Streptophyta; Magnoliopsida; Fabales; Fabaceae
Description: gma-miR1520f-3p
Source: miRBase by way of RNAcentral